AUGAACGCUGGCGGCGUGCUUAACCCAUGCCAGUCGCACGCGAAAUGGAGACGGAACCCUUCGGGCGGAAGGCUUCAUUUCGAGUGGCGGACGGGUGAGUAACGCGUGGGUAACCUGCCUCAUACAGGGGGAUAACAGUUGGAAACGACUGUUAAUACCGCAUAAGACCACAGCACCGCAUGGUGCGGGGGUAAAAACUCCGGUGGUAUGAGAUGGACCCGCGUUCGAUUAGCCAGUUGGCGGGGUAACGGCCCACCAAAGCGACGAUCGAUAGCCGAUCUGAGAGGAUGACCGGCCACAUUGGGACUGAGACACGGCCCAAACUCCUACGGGAGGCAGCAGUGGGGAAUAUUGCACAAUGGGGGAAACCCUGAUGCAGCGACGCCGCGUGAGUGAAGAAGUACUUCGGUAUGUAAAGCUCUAUCAGCAGGGAAGAAAAUGACGGUACCUGAGUAAGAAGCCCCGGCUAACUACGUG
This 477-nucleotide ribosomal RNA is filed under the name uncultured bacterium. RNAcentral describes it as "partial 16S ribosomal RNA". It matches the Rfam family "Bacterial small subunit ribosomal RNA", at positions 29 to 507 of the family's 1533-position model. The record is from RNAcentral.